UUUUAUUCAAGCUUAUGGUUAAAUCAUUGCUGAUUGCCAUGAAAAUUGUACUCUGUACAUCUUGCAUGUAUAAGUCAGGUAUGAAAGGCUGAUCACCUUCAUUACCAGUUGGUUCAGAAAUGUUUGUUCAUGUUUAAAACUUGUUCAGUCAAAAAUUUGUUCGUGCUAGUUCUCAAUUAUAUUGAUGAAUUAUAGCAAGCCCAUUAUUCAUACUCUUCAAUCAUGAUAUAUCCUUAUAUUGUUGUAUUUAAACUUGCUGGGCAACUUUCAUGCUCACCCUUGCUAUAUCAUGAUAAAACAUUGCAGAUAAGACGAAAGCGUUCGGAUACAGGAAACGAUUAAAGCCAAGUUCAGCUUGGGUUAUAAAGUGCAGCUAGUUUGUAAUAGCGUAUUGUGAUAAAUAUUGUUAUGUAAUAAAUAGUUUAUGAAAUGUGUAUAAGUUAAGGUUACUCGACCUUGGGGAAUAGUGUGUAAUGUAAUGUAUAAACAAUUUAUGUUUAUAUCUUCCGCAAACAGUUAUAGAAAGAUUAGCAAACCGAAUCCGCGGCGAUUUGGGGCCCGGAUUCGGGGGACGCUACAGUUGGUAUCAAAGCUGUUGGUUAUGAAGCUUAGGUAGGAAUACCUGAGACCAAUAACCGCAGUGAUUAGGAUAAGAUCUAACUCACAUAGAGUUAGUUGGUCGGUAAGAUUCAAAGACGAAUCUCGGUAAGUUGUAAAGAUACAGAGUUCCCUAACUCUGGUAAUAAGGUUGAACAGAAGUGGUGAAUAGAUAAAGUCUAAAAGACUAAAAGUUCAGUGAUAGGAGAUCGUAAAACAAAACGAUCAUAGUCAUAGAAUUGAAUCGUAAUAUAUACGAUGAGAUCACCCCGUGAUCUGUUAAGGUUAUGACAGCCAGAAAGAAUCAAUCUGAUGAUUGAAAAGUUUAAAGCAUGAUUGCUGUGUGAAUGGUACAGAUUCAGAAAAGGAUUAUGAAUACGGAUUAAAUGAAAUUCGUAUUGAGAAGGGGGUUAAGUAUUAGGUGGGGAUUUCAAUGAGGACUCGUGUCGGCAACUGAGUUGUAUGAUUUCUUGUAUGGGCGGGGAAUCGUACUUGGUGUAAAAACUACUUAGUUGGUGGCAUUGGUAAUAAUUGAAAUGUUGUGUCACGCUAGUUGUUAUAUACAGAUAAAUAGGUCAUAGGUAGAGAAUAUAGGAUUAAGUACGAGUUCUUAGAACUCAUACUUAUGUGACAUUCUUGACUCAUAGUUAUAUGAAAUGUUUAUGAGCCCCUCAGCGAACGGACGCCAAAGGUCAGACUAGGGUAAGUUCGUAAACUCAUAUAAUUGUGGCCAGGUUAUGAACUCAUAAGUGUGGUUUUAUGAACUGGGUAUAGUUGUGUGUGAAUGGAGUGUUAAGGAUUAUAGGAACAGAUAGAUUGUUAAGCAUAUGAUCAUUAGUGGAGAUUUAGGUUUUCCUAAACCCCUAGCUUUGCUAAACUUCAAUUUUUGACAUCAAGCUAAAUACGCACUAUGUGCCUUUUAAAAAAAAAAAAUUGUUUUUAUUUAUCACUUAUGUACCAUGUGACCUGGUGCAGAGAUGAAAAAAAAAAAUGAUGGAGUUAUCAAUGCAGAAUUACUUGGUGUUGGAUGUGAUCUAAGGAUCGUCAGCCCACUACAGUAUGAUGUAGUAUAACAAAGUCACAAAAUGACGAAAUCCUCAACGGACUGUUAAAUACAGUGCGGCAUCAUGACGUCAUUCUCAAAAAUGUUUUUAUUGAAAGAAAUUUCCCAAACCAAAUUGUUUUGUUGUGGAAUCAAAUAAGACUGAGGUAAAAUUUUGUGCGCCUAAGGCGGAUAAGAGGAACAAAAUUGUUCCGACCAGCAGUACUUGGCCAGUACAGGGCAUAUCGGGCUAAUCACCCUUUGUGUCUGUAAGUUAUGACGGUUUGCGGAUGAAUUUCCAUAAAACCUUUGCGAAAAUGACAGACAAAUAGUCUAUAUGACUCCUCAGCAAAAUUUGAAAAUUUUUACUCUUGUGAGUGGUGUAUUGGGUAGCAUGUGAUGCUGUGUAUGUAUGGUGUAUGGUGUAUGGUGUAAGGUGUAAGGUAAAUUUCGGGGACGAAAUUUUUAGAAGAAGGGGUGAAUGUGACAACCCGAGAAUUUUGAAUAUUUUUAAAAUUUUAAUUAAUUGAUUUAAGGUUCAAUAUUAGAACCUAGACAGAAAAUAAGUGUAUGCGUUUGAUAUUUUUAAGAAGGAAUUUUGAGGAUUUCAAAAUUCUGUGAAGGAUUUAAGUGAAUUAUUCAGGAUUAAGGGAAUAAGUGAAUAUGUUCUGUGUAUAUGGUCGUAUAUGUGUACAGUAUGUGGUUAAGGGUCAAGGGUUGACCAGAUAAACGAUAUCUGUAACAAACCCUAAGUAUAUAUUAAGAACGUCAAUGUUCGGUUAGAAAACCCUAGCGAUUAAUAAGAAACCCUAGAAACCGGUUCUGGAAACCCUAAUUUCAGUUCCGGGAAUCCGAAACCCUAAUUCGGUGCAUGAAACCCUAAAUCGGGAACUUAAUGGCGUAAGUGUAAAUAAUUAUAGGAUUAAUUAGGGUUAAUCUUAACAAAUUGGUUACAAAACCCUAAUUCCAAAUUUUUGAAACCCUAAAUUUACGGAUUUGAAACCCUAAUUUGUAAAUAGGGAAAAACCUAAGUGUUAAUUUAAUACUUUUAAUGUUAAUUAGGAUAUAUUAAUUCUAAUUUUCAAGUUAUGAGUAAUUAGAAAACCCUAAUCUAAUUACGAAAUCUAAUUUCUAAAUUAAAAAAUUAUUUUUCUAUUAGAAACCCUAAUUAGUGGGUUAUAAACCCUAAUGACCAUUUUAACCCUAAUUGUUUAAUUAGCAAUUUUAAUUAGGAAAUACUAAUCAUAAUUAGCAAGAUUUAAGUUAUGAUUAAGAAAUUUUUAUAUAAUUAGAAAAUCCUAAUUAUAAUUUAGAAAUAUUAAUUUUCUAUUUUUGGAAACCUAAUUUGGACAUUCUAGAUUUUAUUUUUCUAAACCCUAAUCCAAACCUUAAACCCUAAGGGUUUGAGUUAAUUGACAAAAAUACCAUUAAAUUUGUGUGCGAAAAGACUAAAAUACCCUUUAUUUAAAAAUCUAAGUAAACAGUUAUGGCCAAAGUUGUGGCCACAUCUCUUGGGUUACCACCAUACACCUUGAAUCAGCUCCAUAAGGCCACAUCACAACACUCAUAGCCACUAGAAUCAAAAGGGUGAGAUUAAAGUAAAGAAAAAUCCUUACUUUACUUACCAUUCUAUCAAAGACCCUUCUCUCUCUAAGAUUUCGAAAUAUAGAGUGAGAGAGAGUGUGAAAUAAAGCCAUGAUCAUUUCAUAUCAAGCCAUUAGCAAAAUCAGAAGUCAGAAUCAAAAAUCAAAGCUCAAAAGGUAUAAAACAUUAAAACUAGAAAUCUUUUGAUUUGAUGUUUAAUGUUGUUGUUUGUUGGUUAAAUUUAUGUUAGAGAGUGUCAUUUGAUGAUCUGUGUUGCCAAAACCUAGAUCCAUAUCAUUUAGAUACUCGAAUUUAAAGAUUUCUCAAAUCUGGAAAAAUGGAAAUAUAAGGCCUGACAACCUAAUGUCAGGGCCUCUAGAUCUUUAUAUGUUAGUGGUUUUGUGUGUUUUAUGUUAUAGAUAUGUAGUAUGACAUAUGGACUAGGAUCUGAGACUGAAAUCAGGGUUAGAUCAUAUUUAAAUCACAAGUUAUGAACGGCCAAACCUAGUUGACCGAUCACGAAAAUGAUUUCUGGGCAGCCUUGAAAUUUCCAGAAAUUCCUGACAAGCUUUUUCAAGCCUCUGAUCUUGCAGUCGUUUUACUGUUUGGCCAUGUUUUUGUUUUGGUAUUGUAGCCUGACAUUCAUAUUACACAUAUAAGUCAUCAGAACCACAAGAUCGAUCACAUGAUCAAAGAUAAUACCGGUCAAACAACCGUUGACCAUCACGCCGGAUGAUGAUUUUGGGUAACCAAGAUCUUCAUCAGCUGAGUUUUUUGUCAGAGUUUGACCAACCUUGAUCUUACAUAUGUGUUGAUGUUUUUAUCAUCUAAUAUUAUGUCGUUAUACCCUGUCAUGUGUUCUACAAGAAUAAACUACUAGAUUGCACAAACAAGACCCAGAUGGAAAGUUAUGAGGAUCGAAAUCUGGUACCUUGCAACUGUUCUUCAUUUCUGGAAAACCCAGAAAUGAAGAACAUCACUGACAACAGUUUCUGGAGCUUAGAUAUUGCAGAAUUGAUUUAUUUUGGCUAUGAAACUUGCUUUAGAUUAUAGUAUUACAUCAAUACUACAAACAUAUUACACUAGACUGACCAGAAACAGUACGAUCAAGAAAUUAUGGGUGGUCAAACCACCUACCCUGUAAACUGACGAUGAGUUUCUGAGCAGCUCAAGAACACGCGAAGAACACCAUUAGCGACGAAUUCGUCACCUAAGGCCCCAAUAGCGACACUUAAUUUCAAAAAUUGAUUAUUUUAAUUAAAUAAAUAGAAAAAAAAUGGUUUUUAAUUAUUAAAAAUACAUAAUAAAUUCUGAAAAAAUUAUUUUAAAGUCUGAAAAAUAGUUUUUAAUUAUUUAGAGUAUAUUUCAUAAAUAUUUAAUAUUUUUGGAAUAUAAAUGGUAUUUAAUUUUUUUAAUUAUAAUAUUAAAUAAAUUAUUUAAAAAUGAUUUUAAUACAUGAAAAAUUAUGAAAAAUAAUAUUAUGGUAUAAGAAAAUAUUUUAAGUUAUUUUUAGUGACUUUUAAUAUUUUGUGAUGGAUUUCAUUAAUUAAUUAAUUAAUAUUAAUUGUAAUUAAUUUAUUUAAUAACUAUAUUAAAUAAAUUAUAGAAAAUCGAAUUAAUGAAUUAUAAAUCAUAUAAAAAAUUUUAUUAAUUGAUUUAAGGUUCAAAAUUAGAACCUAUGACAUAUAAAUUAGGUUAUAUUUUUGAUGAAGGAAUUUUGAGGAUUUCAAAAUUCUGUGAAGGAUUUAGGUGGAUUAUUCAGGAUUAAGGAAUACGUGAAAAUCAUAUAAAAGUGAUUUUAAAGUAUUAAAAAUACUUUGAUAUAUUAUAAUAUUAUGCUAUGAUUUUCAUUAAUAUUUGAUAAUAAAUAAAUAUUAAUGAUAAAAGAAUUAGGUGGUAUUUAUUCAUUUAAAUACGAUUUUAAUGAUUGAAAAAUCAAGAUAAAUAGUAAUAAUUAUUUAAAAAUUAUUACAAGCUUACGAAAAAAUAUUUCGACUGUUAAUAAAUUAUAUUAGAUAAUAGUUAAGCGUUUAGCCAGAGUUUAAUUGAACUUAAACUCGAAAUUUGUCCGACUAGACCAUCGGGAUGUUAGAAUUUUGUAGGAUUCAACUCGGACUUAAAUAGUCUGACUUGAUGCUAAGUUUUAUGUAUUGAAUAUACUGAUAGGGUUAUGUGUUAUGUGUUAUGUGUUUAGGUUAUUCUAUGUAUAUAUAUAUAUAUAUUAUAGUAUUAUAUUGUGAUGAUAUUAUUCUAAUAUUGGAGAUCUAUAUUACUAAUAUUAGGUCUUCGGAUAAAGCGAUAUAAAUUGCAUAGCGGUAAUCAACGGUUCAGGCAAGUUUGUUUUUACUUAACUCUACUAAGAGUUGUUUCUUUCGGAUAAGCUUAUGGUUAAUCAUUGAUGGUUGCCAUGAAUUGUACUAUGUACAUAUUGCAUGUAUAAGUCAGGUAUGAAAGGCUGAUCACCUUCAUUACCAGUUGGUUCAGAUAUAUUUGUUCAUGUUAAAACUUGUUCAGUCAAAAUUUUGUUCCUGCUAGUUCACAAUUAUAUUGUUGAAUUAUAGCCAGCCAAUUAUUCAAAUCAUUUCAAUCAUGAUAUAUCGUUAUAUUAUUGAACUUAAACUUGCUGGGCAACUUUU
RNAcentral lists this long non-coding RNA (5859 nucleotides) under Panax ginseng (ginseng). RNAcentral's name for it is "long non-coding RNA (PGIN_LNC003771)". Lineage: Eukaryota; Viridiplantae; Streptophyta; Magnoliopsida; Apiales; Araliaceae. The record is from RNAcentral.